Non-coding RNA from Blastosporella zonata, 119 nucleotides. The record is from the annotation of a GenBank genome assembly. Lineage: Eukaryota; Fungi; Basidiomycota; Agaricomycetes; Agaricales; Lyophyllaceae.
GGCAAGAUGGCCGAGCGGUUAAGGCGUGUGACUCAAGCGUAGCUUCAAGCUUAACCUUGCCUGCAUUCGCGGGUUCUCAUCAUCGAAAGAUGGCGGGGGUUCAAGUCCCCCUCUUGUCA